GACGAAGGGGGCUAGCGUUGUUCGGAAUUACUGGGCGUAAAGCGCACGUAGGCGGCUUAUCAAGUCAGAUGUGAAAGCCCCGGGCUUAACCCGGGAACUGCAUUUGAUACUGAUUGGCUAGAGACCGGGAGAGGAUAGCGGAAUUCCCAGUGUAGAGGUGAAAUUCGUAGAUAUUGGGAAGAACACCAGUGGCGAAGGCGGCUAUCUGGACCGGUACUGACGCUGAGGUGCGAAAGCGUGGGGAGCAAACAGG
Molecule: ribosomal RNA, 253 nt
Filed under: uncultured bacterium
Lineage: Bacteria
Description: partial 16S ribosomal RNA
Rfam family: Bacterial small subunit ribosomal RNA
Source: RNAcentral